RNAcentral lists this ribosomal RNA (771 nucleotides) under fungal sp. RNAcentral describes it as "eukaryotic LSU rRNA". The stretch from base 522 to 771 matches the Rfam family "Eukaryotic large subunit ribosomal RNA", at positions 1 to 247 of the family's 3401-position model. Lineage: Eukaryota; Fungi. The record is from RNAcentral.
GGAUCAUUACCGAGUGCGGGUCCUUUGGGCCCAACCUCCCAUCCGUGUCUAUUAUACCCUGUUGCUUCGGCGGGCCCGCCGCUUGUCGGCCGCCGGGGGGGCGCCUUUGCCCCCCGGGCCCGUGCCCGCCGGAGACCCCAACACGAACACUGUCUGAAAGCGUGCAGUCUGAGUUGAUUGAAUGCAAUCAGUUAAAACUUUCAACAAUGGAUCUCUUGGUUCCGGCAUCGAUGAAGAACGCAGCGAAAUGCGAUAACUAAUGUGAAUUGCAGAAUUCAGUGAAUCAUCGAGUCUUUGAACGCACAUUGCGCCCCCUGGUAUUCCGGGGGGCAUGCCUGUCCGAGCGUCAUUGCUGCCCUCAAGCCCGGCUUGUGUGUUGGGUCGCCGUCCCCCUCUCCGGGGGGACGGGCCCGAAAGGCAGCGGCGGCACCGCGUCCGAUCCUCGAGCGUAUGGGGCUUUGUCACAUGCUCUGUAGGAUUGGCCGGCGCCUGCCGACGUUUUCCAACCAUUUUUUCCAGGUUGACCUCGGAUCAGGUAGGGAUACCCGCUGAACUUAAGCAUAUCAAUAAGCGGAGGAAAAGAAACCAACCGGGAUUGCCUCAGUAACGGCGAGUGAAGCGGCAAGAGCUCAAAUUUGAAAGCUGGCUCCUUCGGAGUCCGCAUUGUAAUUUGCAGAGGAUGCUUUGGGUGCGGCCCCCGUCUAAGUGCCCUGGAACGGGCCGUCAGAGAGGGUGAGAAUCCCGUCUUGGGCGGGGUGUCCGUGCCCGUGU